This 253-nucleotide ribosomal RNA is filed under the name uncultured bacterium. Its description in RNAcentral is "partial 16S ribosomal RNA". It matches the Rfam family "Bacterial small subunit ribosomal RNA", at positions 524 to 776 of the family's 1533-position model. The record is from RNAcentral.
UACGGAGGGUGCGAGCGUUGUUCGGAUUCAUUGGGCGUAAAGGGUGCGUAGGCGGCGCGGUAAGUCGGGUGUGAAAUCUCGGAGCUUAACUCCGAAACUGCAUUGGAAACUACUUUGCUCGAGGGUUGGAGGGGGGACUGGAAUUCUCGGUGUAGCAGUGAAAUGCGUAGAUAUCGAGAGGAACACCAGUGGCGAAGGCGAGUCCCUGGACAACUCCUGACACUGAGGCACGAAAGCUAGGGGAGCAAACAGG